GCAAACAGGAUUAGAUACCCUGGUAGUCCACGCCGUAAACGAUGUCUACUUGGAGGUUGUGCCCUUGAGGCGUGGCUUCCGGAGCUAACGCGUUAAGUAGACCGCCUGGGGAGUACGGCCGCAAGGUUAAAACUCAAAUGAAUUGACGGGGGCCCGCACAAGCGGUGGAGCAUGUGGUUUAAUUCGAUGCAACGCGAAGAACCUUACCUGGUCUUGACAUCCACAGAAGAAUCCAGAGAUGGAUUUGUGCCUUCGGGAACUGUGAGACAGGUGCUGCAUGGCUGUCGUCAGCUCGUGUUGUGAAAUGUUGGGUUAAGUCCCGCAACGAGCGCAACCCUUAUCCUUUGUUGCCAGCGGUUAGGCCGGGAACUCAAAGGAGACUGCCAGUGAUAAACUGGAGGAAGGUGGGGAUGACGUCAAGUCAUCAUGGCCCUUACGACCAGGGCUACACACGUGCUACAAUGGCGCAUACAAAGAGAAGCGACCUCGCGAGAGCAAGCGGACCUCAUAAAGUGCGUCGUAGUCCGGAUUGGAGUCUGCAACUCGACUCCAUGAAGUCGGAAUCGCUAGUAAUCGUGGAUCAGAAUGCCACGGUGAAUACGUUCCCGGGCCUUGUACACACCGCCCGUCACACCAUGGGAGUGGGUUGCAAAAGAAGUAGGUAGCUUAACCUUCGGGAGGGCGCUUACCACUUUGUGAUUCAUGACUGGGGUGAAGUCGUAACAAGGUAACCGUAGGGGAACCUGC
RNAcentral lists this ribosomal RNA (747 nucleotides) under Salmonella enterica subsp. enterica serovar Havana. Its description in RNAcentral is "bacterial SSU rRNA". It matches the Rfam family "Bacterial small subunit ribosomal RNA", at positions 768 to 1515 of the family's 1533-position model. The record is from RNAcentral. Lineage: Bacteria; Pseudomonadati; Pseudomonadota; Gammaproteobacteria; Enterobacterales; Enterobacteriaceae.